CGGAGGGGCGUAGCGUUAUUCGGAAUUACUGGGCGUAAAGCGCACGUAGGCGGCUUUGUAAGUUAGAGGUGAAAGCCCGGAGCUCAACUCCGGAACUGCCUUUAAGACUGCAUCGCUUGAGUCCAGGAGAGGUGAGUGGAAUUCCGAGUGUAGAGGUGAAAUUCGUAGAUAUUCGGAAGAACACCAGUGGCGAAGGCGGCUCACUGGACUGGUAUUGACGCUGAGGUGCGAAAGCGUGGGGAGCAAACAGGAUU
RNAcentral lists this ribosomal RNA (254 nucleotides) under uncultured bacterium. RNAcentral describes it as "partial 16S ribosomal RNA". It matches the Rfam family "Bacterial small subunit ribosomal RNA", at positions 526 to 779 of the family's 1533-position model. The record is from RNAcentral.